AUUGAACGCUGGCGGCAGGCUUAACACAUGCAAGUCGAGCGGGGUGAUGGUGCUUGCACUAUCACUUAGCGGCGGACGGGUGAGUAAUGCUUAGGAAUCUGCCUAUUAGUGGGGGACAACAUCUCGAAAGGGACGCUAAUACCGCAUACGUCCUACGGGAGAAAGCAGGGGAUCACUUGUGACCUUGCGCUAAUAGAUGAGCCUAAGUCGGAUUAGCUAGUUGGGGGGGUAAAGGCCUACCAAGGCGACGAUCUGUAGCGGGUCUGAGAGGUUGUUCCGCCACACUGGGGCGGAGACACGGCCCAGACUCCUACGGGAGGCAGCAGUGGGGAAUAUUGGACAAUGGGGGGAACCCUGAUCCAGCCAUGCCGCGUGUGUGAAGAAGGCCUUAUGGUUGUAAAGCACUUUAAGCGAGGAGGAGGCUCUUUUGGUUAAUACCCAAGAUGAGUGGACGUUACUCGCAGAAUAAGCACCGGCUAACUCUGUGCCAGCAGCCGCCGUAA
RNAcentral lists this ribosomal RNA (503 nucleotides) under uncultured bacterium. RNAcentral's name for it is "partial 16S ribosomal RNA". It matches the Rfam family "Bacterial small subunit ribosomal RNA", at positions 30 to 523 of the family's 1533-position model. The record is from RNAcentral.